RNAcentral lists this ribosomal RNA (446 nucleotides) under uncultured bacterium. RNAcentral describes it as "bacterial SSU rRNA". It matches the Rfam family "Bacterial small subunit ribosomal RNA", at positions 329 to 792 of the family's 1533-position model. The record is from RNAcentral.
UACCAGACUCCUACGGGAGGCAGCAGUGGGGAAUAUUGCACAAUGGGGGAAACCCUGAUGCAGCGACGCCGCGUGAGCGAUGAAGUAUUUCGGUAUGUAAAGCUCUGUCAGCAGGGAAGAAAAUGACGGUACCUGACUAAGAAGCCCCGGCUAACUACGUGCCAGCAGCCGCGGUAAUACGUAGGGGGCAAGCGUUAUCCGGAUUUACUGGGUGUAAAGGGAGCGUAGACGGCUGUGCAAGCCAGAUGUGAAAGCCCGGGGCUCAACCCCGGGACUGCUCUUGGAACUGCGUGGCUAGAGUGCAGGAGGGGCAGGCGGAAUUCCUGGUGUAGCGGUGAAAUGCGUAGAUAUCAGGAGGAACACCGGCGGCGAAGGCGGCCUGCUGGACCGCGACUGACGUUGAGGCUCGAAAGCGUGGGGAGCGAACAGGAUUAGAUACCCCAGUA